Molecule: ribosomal RNA, 443 nt
Filed under: uncultured bacterium
Lineage: Bacteria
Description: SSU rRNA
Rfam family: Bacterial small subunit ribosomal RNA
Source: RNAcentral
AGAGCGAACGCUGGCGGCAGGCCUAACACAUGCAAGUCGAGCGCCCGUAGCAAUACGGGAGCGGCAGACGGGAUAGUAACACGUGGGAACGCGCCCUUCGGUUCGGAAUAACUCAGGGAAACUUGAGCUAAUACCGAAUACGCCCUUACGGGGAAAGAUUUAUUGCCGAAGGAACGGCCCGCGUCCGAUUAGCUAGUUGGUGAGGUAAUGGCUCACCAAGGCUACGAUCGGUAGCUGGUCUGAGAGGAUGACCAGCAUCACUGGGACUGAGACACGGCCCAGACUCCUACGGGAGGCAGCAGUGGGGAAUAUUGGACAAUGGGCGCAAGCCUGAUCCAGCCAUGCCGCGUGGAUGAUGAAGGCCUUAGGGUGUAAAGUCCUUUAACGGGAAGAUAAUGACGGUACCGUAGAAUAAGCCCGGCUAACUUCGUGCCAGCAGCCGC